GACGAACGCUGGCGGCGUGCUUAACACAUGCAAGUCGUACGGUAAGGCCCUUUCGGGGGUACACGAGUGGCGAACGGGUGAGUAACACGUGAGUAACCUGCCCACAACUUUGGGAUAACGCUAGGAAACUGGUGCUAAUACUGGAUAUGUGCUCCUGCUGCAUGGUGGGGGUUGGAAAGCUCCGGCGGUUGUGGAUGGACUCGCGGCCUAUCAGCUUGUUGGUGGGGUAGUGGCCUACCAAGGCGGCGACGGGUAGCCGGCCUGAGAGGGUGACCGGCCACAUUGGGACUGAGAUACGGCCCAGACUCCUACGGGAGGCAGAAGUGGGGAAUAUUGAACAAUGGGCGCAAGCCUGAUGCAGCAACGCCGCGGGCGGGAGGACGGCCUUCGGGUUGUAAACCGCUUUCAGCAGGAACGAAGCUUUUUGUGACGGUACCUGCAGAAGAAGCACCGGCUAACUACGUG
This 465-nucleotide ribosomal RNA is filed under the name uncultured bacterium. RNAcentral describes it as "partial 16S ribosomal RNA". It matches the Rfam family "Bacterial small subunit ribosomal RNA", at positions 28 to 507 of the family's 1533-position model. The record is from RNAcentral.